Pteropus vampyrus (large flying fox) is the source of this 119-nucleotide ribosomal RNA. The record is from Ensembl. Lineage: Eukaryota; Metazoa; Chordata; Mammalia; Chiroptera; Pteropodidae.
GUCUAUGGCCAUGCCACCCUGAACAUGCCUGAUUCCAUCUGAUAUCGGAAGCUAAGCAGGGUCGGGCCUGGUUAGUACUUAGAUGGGACACCGCCUAGGAAGACUGGGCACUAUAGGCG